Long non-coding RNA from Drosophila albomicans, 825 nucleotides. RefSeq lists it as uncharacterized. The record is from RefSeq and is a predicted model, not a curated record. NCBI's taxonomy places the organism in Eukaryota, Metazoa, Arthropoda, Insecta, Diptera, Drosophilidae. The transcript is spliced from 3 exons.
ACUUUGCAGCUGAUUCACCAGCUUUGCGAUCAUUGCGAUUUGCUGCGCUUCACAUUCAGCUGCAGCUUAGAGCUUUAGCUGUGAUUGAUUUGUCACGGUCAUGGUCAAGGUUUUUGUUUUUCUGUAUACGAAAUAGUUUCCUGUUUGGCAACUGAAUAGUUUCGCAAAAUAUUUCACUCGCAACGAGUCUUCGUGGCUCGCCUAUUGUUGCUACUAAUUCGCACUUAAAUUCCCUGCAAUGUGAAAAGUCAAUCUUGCAGCAAGUGUCGAUGGCCUUGCUUCUGUUGAACUAAUUUUCUUCGAAUGUAAAUGCAUGGUAAUCGAUGUCUGAAAAUUGAUAUAAUUGUAAAAUAAUUGCUACAAUCAACAAUUCAGUUGGCACAGCUUAAGGUAAGUUAAUCCCAUGUCUAGCUCUUUUAGCUUCCUGGAAUCAAUGCACAAUGAUUGUUGGCUGAUGGAAUAUUGAUAUUAUAGUUAAGCUUGAGCUUGCAAAGGGCGCCACCUUAAUCGUUAUCGCUUUGCCAUCGAACCAAACCUCUGUUGGCCCAUUGAAUGACCCGCCCAACUCUGACGUUUGCUGCUCUUGCUGUUGCUGUUGCUGCUGCCUGUUUCCCUGAGGUGAUUUUGCAAGAUUUGUCUGACGUGACGACUGCUGGGAGAACUGCUCGAGAAACUAAUUUCUUCAAAUCAAAUGUUGAGCAAAAAGUGUAUUGCAAUCAAUGCUUAUGCAAGUAAUGGCUCUGAUAAAUGUACUUGCAAUUAUGAAUUGCAAAAAAUUUAAGAUUUAUACACAAUUUUUUUAAGCAUAGAAUUUCGUUUCAAUAC